Molecule: ribosomal RNA, 459 nt
Filed under: uncultured bacterium
Lineage: Bacteria
Description: partial 16S ribosomal RNA
Rfam family: Bacterial small subunit ribosomal RNA
Source: RNAcentral
CCUACGGGGGGCAGCAGUGAGGAAUAUUGGUCAAUGGCCGCAGGGCUGAACCAGCCAAGUCGCGUGAGGGAUGACGGUCCUAUGGAUUGUAAACCUCUUUUGUCAGGGAGCAAAGGGCGCCACGUGUGGCGCUUUGCGAGUACCUGAAGAAAAAGCAUCGGCUAACUCCGUGCCAGCAGCCGCGGUAAUACGGAGGAUGCGAGCGUUAUCCGGAUUUAUUGGGUUUAAAGGGUGCGCAGGCGGAAUGUCAAGUCAGCGGUAAAAUUUCGGGGCUCAACCCCGUCGUGCCGUUGAAACUGGCGUUCUUGAGUGAGCGAGAAGUAUGCAGAAUGCGUGGUGUAGCGGUGAAAUGCAUAGAUAUCACGCAGAACUCCGAUUGCGAAGGCAGCAUACCGGCGCUCAACUGACGCUCAUGCACGAAAGCGUGGGUAUCGAACAGGAUUAGAUACCCCGGUAGUC